CGUGUAGGCGGUUUGGUAAGUCAGAUGUGAAAGCCCUGGGCUCAACCCAGGAAGUGCAUUUGAAACUACCCAACUUGAGUACGGGAGAGGAAGGGGGAAUUCCCGGUGUAGAGGUGAAAUUCGUAGAUAUCGGGAGGAAUACCGGUGGCGAAGGCGCCCUUCUGGACUGAUACUGACGCUGAGACGCGAAAGCGUGGGGAGCAAACA
This 207-nucleotide ribosomal RNA is filed under the name uncultured bacterium. RNAcentral's name for it is "partial 16S ribosomal RNA". It matches the Rfam family "Bacterial small subunit ribosomal RNA", at positions 568 to 774 of the family's 1533-position model. The record is from RNAcentral.